RNAcentral lists this ribosomal RNA (35 nucleotides) under Talaromyces ptychoconidius. RNAcentral describes it as "partial 28S ribosomal RNA". Lineage: Eukaryota; Fungi; Ascomycota; Eurotiomycetes; Eurotiales; Trichocomaceae. The record is from RNAcentral.
UUGACCUCGGAUCAGGUAGGAGUUACCCGCUGAAC